RNAcentral lists this ribosomal RNA (375 nucleotides) under Bacillus cereus. Its description in RNAcentral is "bacterial SSU rRNA". It matches the Rfam family "Bacterial small subunit ribosomal RNA", at positions 1117 to 1492 of the family's 1533-position model. The record is from RNAcentral. Lineage: Bacteria; Bacillati; Bacillota; Bacilli; Caryophanales; Bacillaceae.
GCCAUCAUUAAGUUGGGCACUCUAAGGUGACNGCCGGUGACAAACCGGAGGAAGGUGGGGAUGACGUCAAAUCAUCAUGCCCCUUAUGACCUGGGCUACACACGUGCUACAAUGGACGGUACAAAGAGCUGCAAGACCGCGAGGUGGAGCUAAUCUCAUAAAACCGUUCUCAGUUCGGAUUGUAGGCUGCAACUCGCCUACAUGAAGCUGGAAUCGCUAGUAAUCGCGGAUCAGCAUGCCGCGGUGAAUACGUUCCCGGGCCUUGUACACACCGCCCGUCACACCACGAGAGUUUGUAACACCCGAAGUCGGUGGGGUAACCUUUUUGGAGCCAGCCGCCUAAGGUGGGACAGAUGAUUGGGGUGAUGUCGUAAC